GACGAACGCUGGCGGCGUGCUUAACACAUGCAAGUCGAACGGAAAGGCCCUGCUUUUGUGGGGUGCUCGAGUGGCGAACGGGUGAGUAACACGUGAGUAACCUGCCCUUGACUUUGGGAUAACUUCAGGAAACUGGGGCUAAUACCGGAUAGGAGCUCCUGCUGCAUGGUGGGGGUUGGAAAGUUUCGGCGGUUGGGGAUGGACUCGCGGCUUAUCAGCUUGUUGGUGGGGUAGUGGCUUACCAAGGCUUUGACGGGUAGCCGGCCUGAGAGGGUGACCGGCCACAUUGGGACUGAGAUACGGACCAGACUCCUACGGGAGGCAGCAGUGGGGAAUAUUGCACAGUGGGCGGGAGCCUGAUGCAGCGACGCCGCGUGCGGGAUGACGGCCUUCGGGUUGUGAACCGCUUUCGCCUGUGACGAAGCGUGAGUGACGGUAAUGGGUAAAGAAGCACCGGCUAACUACGUG
Molecule: ribosomal RNA, 468 nt
Filed under: uncultured bacterium
Lineage: Bacteria
Description: partial 16S ribosomal RNA
Rfam family: Bacterial small subunit ribosomal RNA
Source: RNAcentral